GAUGAACGCUGGCGGCGUGCCUAAUACAUGCAAGUCGAGCGAACAGACGAGGCGUUUGCUCCUCUCACGUUAGCGGCGGACGGGUGAGUAACACGUGGAUACCCUACCUAUAAGACUGGGAUAACUUCGGGAAACGGGAGAUAAUACCGGAUAAUAUAUUGAACCGCAUGGUUCAAUGGUGAAAGACGGUUUUGCUGUCACGUAUAGAUGGAUCCGGGCCGCUUUAGCUAGUUGGUAAGGUAACGGCUUACCAAGGCGACGAUGCGUAGCCGAGCGGAGAGGGGGAUAGGCCACAUUGGAGCGUGGACGGCGUCCAGGCUCCUACGGGAGGCAGCAGUAGGGAAUGGGCCGCAAUGGUGGAGAGCCUGACGGAGCAGCGCCGCGUGUGUGAUGAAGGUCUUCGGAUCGUAAAACUCUGUUAUUAGGGAAGAACAAAUGUGUAAGUAACUAUGCACGUCUUGACGGUACCGGGUCAGAAAGCCACGGCUAACUACGUG
Molecule: ribosomal RNA, 497 nt
Filed under: uncultured bacterium
Lineage: Bacteria
Description: partial 16S ribosomal RNA
Rfam family: Bacterial small subunit ribosomal RNA
Source: RNAcentral